Molecule: ribosomal RNA, 1346 nt
Filed under: uncultured bacterium
Lineage: Bacteria
Description: bacterial SSU rRNA
Rfam family: Bacterial small subunit ribosomal RNA
Source: RNAcentral
GACGAACGCUGGCGGCGUGCUUAACACAUGCAAGUCGAACGAUGAAGCCUAGCUUGCUAGGUGGAUUAGUGGCGAACGGGUGAGUAAUACGUGAGUGACCUACCUUUGACUCUGGGAUAAGCCUGGGAAAUUGGGUCUAAUACCGGAUACGACCAAUCUCCGCAUGGGGUGUUGGUGGAAAGCGUUAUGGAGUGGUUUUAGAUGGGCUCACGGCCUAUCAGCUUGUUGGUGAGGUAAUGGCUUACCAAGGCGACGACGGGUAGCCGGCCUGAGAGGGUGACCGGCCACACUGGGACUGAGACACGGCCCAGACUCCUACGGGAGGCAGCAGUGGGGAAUAUUGCACAAUGGGCGCAAGCCUGAUGCAGCGACGCCGCGUGAGGGAUGACGGCCUUCGGGUUGUAAACCUCUGUUAGCAUCGAAGAAGCGAAAGUGACGGUAGGUGCAGAGAAAGCGCCGGCUAACUACGUGCCAGCAGCCGCGGUAAUACGUAGGGCGCGAGCGUUGUCCGGAAUUAUUGGGCGUAAAGAGCUUGUAGGCGGUUGGUCGCGUCUGCUGUGAAGGCUGGGGCUUAACCCUGGUUUUGCAGUGGGUACGGGCUAACUAGAGUGCAGUAGGGGAGACUGGAAUUCCUGGUGUAGCGGUGGAAUGCGCAGAUAUCAGGAGGAACACCGAUGGCGAAGGCAGGUCUCUGGGCUGUAACUGACGCUGAGAAGCGAAAGCAUGGGGAGCGAACAGGAUUAGAUACCCUGGUAGUCCAUGCCGUAAACGUUGGGCACUAGGUGUGGGGGACAUUCCACGUUUUCCGCGCCGUAGCUAACGCAUUAAGUGCCCCGCCUGGGGAGUACGGCCGCAAGGCUAAAACUCAAAGAAAUUGACGGGGGCCCGCACAAGCGGCGGAGCAUGCGGAUUAAUUCGAUGCAACGCGAAGAACCUUACCAAGGCUUGACAUAUACUGGACUGCGUCAGAGAUGGCGUUUCCCUUCGGGGCUGGUAUACAGGUGGUGCAUGGUUGUCGUCAGCUCGUGUCGUGAGAUGUUGGGUUAAGUCCCGCAACGAGCGCAACCCUCGUUCUAUGUUGCCAGCACGUGAUGGUGGGGACUCAUAGGAGACUGCCGGGGUUAACUCGGAGGAAGGUGGGGAUGACGUCAAAUCAUCAUGCCCCUUAUGCCUUGGGCUUCACGCAUGCUACAAUGGCCGGUACAGAGGGUUGCGAUACUGUGAGGUGGAGCUAAUCCCUAAAAGCCGGUCUCAGUUCGGAUUGGGGUCUGCAACUCGACCCCAUGAAGUCGGAGUCGCUAGUAAUCGCAGAUCAGCAACGCUGCGGUGAAUACGUUCCCGGGCCU